GAAUCUUGCGCAAUGGGCGAAAGCCUGACGCAGCAACGCCGCGUGCGGGAUGACGGCCUUCGGGUUGUAAACCGCUUUCAGUAGGGACGAAAUUGACGGUACCUGCAGAAGAAGCCCCGGCCAACUACGUGCCAGCAGCCGCGGUAAUACGUAGGGGGCAAGCGUUGUCCGGAGUCAUUGGGCGUAAAGAGCUCGUAGGCGGCUUGGCAAGUCGGGUGUGAAAACUUCAGGCUCAACCUGGAGCGGCCACUCGAUACUGCCAUGGCUAGAGUCCGGUAGGGGACCACGGAAUUCCUGGUGUAGCGGUGAAAUGCGCAGAUAUCAGGAGGAACACCGGUGGCGAAGGCGGUGGUCUGGGCCGGAACUGACGCUGAGGAGCGAAAGCGUGGGGAGCGAACAGG
RNAcentral lists this ribosomal RNA (401 nucleotides) under uncultured bacterium. RNAcentral's name for it is "bacterial SSU rRNA". It matches the Rfam family "Bacterial small subunit ribosomal RNA", at positions 359 to 776 of the family's 1533-position model. The record is from RNAcentral.